GGAAAGCGGCGGACGGGUGAGUAACGCGUAGGCAACCUGCCUCUCACAGGGGGAUAGCCUCGGGAAACCGGGAUUAAUACCAUAUAACAUUGCGACGAAGCAUUUCGAUGCAAUCAAAGCUACGGCGGUAAGAGAUGGGCUCGCGUCCCAUUAACCGGAUGGUGAGGUAACGGCUCACCAUAGUAACGAUGGGUAACCGGCCUGAGAGGGUGAACGGUCACACUGGAACUGAGACACGGUCCAGACUCC
RNAcentral lists this ribosomal RNA (249 nucleotides) under uncultured bacterium. RNAcentral describes it as "partial 16S ribosomal RNA". It matches the Rfam family "Bacterial small subunit ribosomal RNA", at positions 90 to 339 of the family's 1533-position model. The record is from RNAcentral.